This 669-nucleotide long non-coding RNA is filed under the name Olea europaea (common olive). RNAcentral describes it as "long non-coding RNA (OEUR_LNC013400)". The record is from RNAcentral. Lineage: Eukaryota; Viridiplantae; Streptophyta; Magnoliopsida; Lamiales; Oleaceae.
AGCGACUGGAUUAGCGGGAAGAUUUAGAUCGGGAAUUGUUGGUUUCUUCGAAGAGCUGGCUCCGCUUCCACCUUCCCCGAAAGGCAGAGGCAAUCUCUCCAUGGCAGAAAGCAAAAAAUCCAGCCAGUCAAGAAAUGGAGCCAAGAAAGCGACGCACCAAGUCAAGUCCCAGUCCCAGAGCACGCGAGCAAUUAAAAGUACGGACAUACGGAUUACCAGGUGUCGAAGGAAUGGAUUCAUGAGUUGUUUAUUUUAUAGUCUCUAUAGAAUAAGCACUGUGAACUGUCUGUUUCAAAAAGAUAGUUGUCAGAAAUGAGUUCCUGACUUUCGUAAUUAUUGUUUUCUUUUUUUAAAUGAUUGCUAAAUUAAACAAAAAAGUAAAAAAGCGCCGACGCCAUUUUUCCGUGCAACUCACGUAUCAGACUUUCUUUUUGUUGAUAUUAAGGUGUCGAAGACCUAACAACACGGAGGCCCUAUUUAAUUAAGUAAGAUCUUCCAACCCUUUUCCAUAACGUUGGUCUACAGACGGUCGUCUUGUUUUGCACUGCUUUUGUUGGACAUCUGUUUAAUAAGUAGACUGUCUUUGAAAAAGGAAAUAAUGAUCCCAAUCAACGAUGAUUGCGGUCGACGUUUCGGCAAAGUUUGUUAUGGUGGAGAGAGAGAAAGNNN